AUAUAGGGGAUAGGGUGCCGUUUGAAAAACAGCAGGGCUCGGCCUCACAAGAAACCGAUGAAAGAUAUGAAUUUGUGCAAAUUGUGAAGCAUUAAUAAAAAUACUGGAAAAACUUGAAUUUAUUAAAACAAAUAAAAAAUAAAAAAAAUGCAUCAUUAGAAAGCCAACAUUAUUUGACGAUGUCAUACUAAGUGAAAGACAACAUUCUAUAUAAUUCACAUGACUCUGAAAAUAAAAAUAAAAUGUCCAUGAGAGGCGAAUGGCUGGGGGUGACUGGUAGUAUCAGGGGGUGACUGGUAGUAGCAGGGGGUGACUGGUAGUAGCAGGGGGUAAUAGGGGGUAGCAGGGGGUGACUGGUAGUAGCAGGGGGUGACUGGUAGUAGCAGGGGGUAAUAGGGUAUCAGGGGGUGACUGGUAGUGGCUGGGGGUGACUGGUAGUAGCAGGGGGUGACUGGUAGUAGCAGGGGGUACUGGGGUAUCAGGGGGUGACUGGUAGUAGCAGGGGGUAAUAGGGUAUCAGGGGUGAGUGGUAGUAGCAGGGGGUAAUAGGGUAUCAGGGGUGAGUGGUAGUAGCAGGGGGGUGGGGGGUAAUAGGGUAUCAGGGGGUAACUGGUAGUAGCAGGGGGUAAUAGGGUAUCAGGGGGUGAGUGGUAGUAGCAGGGGGGGGUAACUGGUAGUAGCAGGGGGUAAUAGGGUAUCAGGGGGUAACUGGUAGUAGCAUGGGGGUAAUAGGGUAUCAGGGG
Oncorhynchus tshawytscha (Chinook salmon) is the source of this 743-nucleotide long non-coding RNA. The record is from Ensembl. NCBI's taxonomy places the organism in Eukaryota, Metazoa, Chordata, Actinopteri, Salmoniformes, Salmonidae.